This 78-nucleotide transfer RNA is filed under the name Terracoccus luteus. RNAcentral describes it as "tRNA-Thr". It matches the Rfam family "tRNA". Rfam says of the family: Transfer RNA (tRNA) molecules are approximately 80 nucleotides in length. Their secondary structure includes four short double-helical elements and three loops (D, anti-codon, and T loops). The record is from RNAcentral. Lineage: Bacteria; Bacillati; Actinomycetota; Actinomycetes; Micrococcales; Intrasporangiaceae.
GCCGACGUAGCUCAGCCUGGCCAGAGCGCUCGCCUCGUAAGCGAGAGGUCCCGGGUUCGAGUCCCGGAGCCGGCUCCA